UAAAGCAACUACUGUAUCUCCUAAUUCUUCACAGCUGAGCUGCCAUGAUGAGAUUGCCCAUGAUAAAUCAUGGAGCAGGACCGCCACAUAUGGAUAAGUCUUCAGGGCAAGACACUACAAUGGCUUCCCCAAGAAGGAGAAAAAGCACCAUGAGAGUAACCCCAUGCCCUGCCACUGCCUUAGUGACUGUUGCCAAAAGGCAUAGAUGGCAAAUCAUAUUGGCUACAGUGACCUGCUUUCUCGCUUCUACCAUUGCAUGUAAUGAAGGGUCUUCAGCUACUCCUUGUCAGAACCCUCUUGGCACUGUGGCUACAACUUUACCCUUGCAGCCUGACUUAUUGCUAUCCCAGAACGCUACUGGUGGCAUCUUGAUGAAACCCAACAAGUACUUACUGAACCACAUUGUAAAAGGGCAAACUGACUUGCAUGCUGCUGGGGAAAAGCAACGUGCUAGAAGCUUACGGGCAGACUCUGUAGGCACCACAGACCAGCUAAGCCUCCCAGAAGCCAAAUGGAGUGACUUAAGCCAGAUCUCUGCACUUGCAUUCAAGCUUGAUGGAAAAGGGAGCCUGCAUUAUAAAUUGAGAGCUGCCAAGAAAGAUAAGAAUGGCAUUGACUCUAAGACUCUGAGACUUGAAACUUCUCUGACUCUUGAUGCGCUAGCCAAAACGACAGGGGAAAGCUUAGAAGAGAAGCCUAAGGGGCUACAGGCAUCCUCUAAGGAGGACCUGACGUUCUCUCCACAUGCAUCUAAAGCUGUGGAAGUUGGCACAAUGGACUCUAAUUACCCUGCAAUGGUACCUGGUACUCUGUCCCAAGCACAAUCCCUUCUGAUAGAUGCAGACUUCUUGCAGUAUGACUCAUUGCACUCUGCUCCAAAGGCAUCUGCACAGCCCCUAAAAGUUUCUCCAGAUGCUGCCUCCAUUGCUCAGUCAAGUUCAAACUCUGGCUUGAAGCAACAAGCUGCUGUAGACAGUCUCACUAGUGAUGCAUGGGGUCUGUAUAAAAUGACCCACUUUGCCACACUAAUGGCUCCCAGCAAUAGCCUAGAUCAGAGAGCCACUAGAAGUAGUCCCACUAGUGUCUUGCCUAAAUUCCUGGCCUCUGCACCUCCAACAUAUAGGGCUAGCAAAGAACUUUCCUACUUAAUGUCACUGACCACAAGUCCUACUGUGCCAGCCAGCCCAGCUGUUCCCACCCAGGAUAACUUAACCAUGAGUACCAACUUCCCAGAGUCCACAUCUCUGGAAGCAACUAACAUUGGCCCUAUAGAACUGAUCACCAGUAGGUGGCCAGGUUCUUCCCCCAUAUCAACUGGUGUGGCUGCUCAUGAACCUGUGGAGCCAGUGUGGCUUGGUACUGUCCCUGGGACACAGCCAGGGUCUCUGACACCAUCUCCAUCAGGAGAAAGUUUCUUGGAUACAUCCCCCAGUGUAACCAUGCCCAACCAGGAACACCAUCCCUCUGAACUAUCUGAUGUGACGAAAUUCAUGUUGAGCGCUCUUCCUGUUAGCAUGUCACAACCCACUAACCUGCUCCCGGCCCCAGUAUCUACAGCAAGACUGCCCUCUGCCAAACCAAUGGCCAGUACCUCAGCUUCUGCACCACUGCAUGUGGGUGACCUGAGCCACUUCACAGAGCACCCAUCUCCUGGGCCCCUUACUGUUCCGGACACCUUAGCAGGCCACACUGAACAGGUAGAGACUGAGGAGCAGUUUACUGCAGCUGUACUGAUGGCUGUCUCACCCACUCUUAGAGAGUCAAUUAAUUGGCCAACACUACCUGUACAUGUCAGCACUACUGCACAGUCUCCUCCCCCAUCUGGUGCUCCAGUCUCGCCACUAAAGGUAACUCUUCCUGGUGUGGUGCAUGCAAGUUCAGUAGAAGUGUCAUCUGGGUUUCCCUCACAGAGUGGUGUAGGGAGAUCUAUCCCUACCGCUCUGUCAGGACACAGUGGAACAAGGGCUCACAUACCAUCAGUUCCCAAGCCAGCCACUGCUGGGCUGGGCCAGCUGCUAGUUCUAACUACUAGUUUAUCAGGAUUAUUAGACCUUCCAGCUGACCGUGACACUCCAAGCUCUCUGGUGCUGGAAGAGACCUUUCCUGAGGCCUCUUCAGAACAGACCAUUGUCCCUGGAGUCCCUCAUAGUCUAGUAACUAGCUCUAACAUUCUCACUGUUGCAGUCAGUGAUAUGACUCAGCUGACUGGAGGUGUUACAGAGGGUCCCCCUUCAGUUGCAGCUGGAGUUGGCCUUUCCUCAGCCACACAUCCCCUUGAUCAUCUCAAACUUGAUGCAGAGAUUGCCAGCACAUCCUCUACAGAGAGAAUCCUGCCAGUGGGACAGCUGGGUCAUAGACUGAAAGAGCACACUACUGAAAUGGCAUGUACUGGUUCUGAUUCCACUAGUUGUCCAACCUGGGUGUCUGACCUUAGUACAGCUGUGGAACAAAAGGGUUCUCCUAGCCUUAUUAUUACACAUGCUCCUGCUAAUCUAACAAGAGUUUCUCCCUCUCAAGAAUCAAUGAGAGGUGUCUCCUCCAAGCCAGACACUCCAGUUGCUGGUACCAGUCGGGCUUUGACCUACUCCACAGUCCUGGCUAGUGUGAAGCCUGUUGCAGGCUUCCUGCAUGAAGACACUGCAGCCAAUUCUCUAUCCCAUAUGUUGCCUAUUAGCAAGGGCCCUAGAAGUCAGUCCAGUACUUCUGCUUGCUGCCCUGAGAGAUCCUCUAGUAUCUCAAGAGCCAGUACAGCUACAAACAUUACUAGUGCCACCCUCUACAGGGAAUUAUCUAAAACUGUGAAGUUCCUUGAUAAAGAGCAGACUCCAGCGGCUGCUGAAGUAGUGGCUAAAAUGCCUCCUGGCUCCUCAGAGCUCCCGCUGGAAGCUUCAAGUGAUGCUCCAACUACAGAGCUGCUUUCCAGUUCAAGUUCAGCAAAGCCACAAGCUCAGCCAGCACGUAAGCAUUACUCACUCCGUAGACCAGGAAUGAGAAGAAGGCUGUCCACCCCAGCUGACUUGGUCUUAUCCCACUCAACCACAUCUCUGCCUAGUGGGACAGACAUCCAGCCAGGGCCAAAGGUGCACACUUCUCCCCGGAAUAAGACCUUCCCUUUGCUGCCCUCUAAAACAAGUAGCGAUACAAGUGUCAUAAUGAAGACUGAGACAAACAUCACCCAUUCCACUCCCCUGUACCUAAACCGAACAGGGCUAACAUUGCUUGGUGGCUCAACCCCUACUGGAAUGGAACAUACUCCAGUACCUAGAACAGCAGCUGGUGUCCCAGUAGCUUCCACUACAGCUGCAUCAGAAUGGAAGCCCACAUCAGCAACUCUGGGAGAGCAAAAAGUCCCAGGUGUGUCUACAAAGGCAGCAAACUUCAGUGGGUUGGCCUCUACUGAGUCUCCAGUCAGUGUUAUGGCACCUGCUGUUGGGUUGACAGACACUGCCGUGCUUGUGGAGAAGGCUACACCAGUCAAAAAUAGAACAGCUGCUCCACUGCCUUCACCUCCAGAGCUAAGUACAACUACACUACUUACUAGUACAAACCUUACACAGUCUUUUGGGCCCAAUGCUCCCAUUCUCCAGCCCCUCGCUGAAGCCAAACCUAGUGUGGUGACUUCCCUUCGUAGUACCCCCAGCAUUCUACCCACAACAAAGACAACGGCCCUGCUCACUAGUGCCAGACCUUCAACCACCCCUGGCCUGCAGCUUCCUACUGUACCAAAGACCACUAAGCUGAUGCCUUGGAACAAAACCACUCUAUCAACAUUGCUUAUACCUCCUACAUCAACCUUGUCCACCCGCUUACUGCUAAUCUCCCAACACAGUUCAACAGCUAAAACAGACCUCAGUGAAUUAACUAGGACAAUGGCUGCAAGAACGAACUUAACCACAGCUGCAGUGUCUGCCAAGCAGGUGGCUACAAUCAAAACUGGCCUCAUUUCAAAGCAGAUCCUGCCUGAAUCUGAGGUUCCAACACUGAGCUUCUCUCCUAGGGGAAAGACUGGGUCUGCAACUAGACCUACAUCACCUUCACUGCAGUUGCCUGUGCAUAUCCUAUCUCUGCAGUUCCGUCUUAUUGGAAUCGCUUACACAGAACUCCUGAAGAACAAGUCUUCUGAUGGGUACAAGAAGCUGGAGAAGGAAGUGAAGUUAACUCUAAACAAGAUGUUAUCCAGCUAUGAGAACUUUCUCCAAGCAAACAUUCUCCAGUUUUUGAACGGUUCCAUCAUUGUUGAGAGUGAGGUUUUAUUCCAGAGAGAUGGCCCUGCUCCCACAAACUCUGACCUCAUCCGCACAGUUGUCACAGAAGUGGAAAGGAAAAUGGACACCUUUUUUGACUGGAGAGUGGAUGUCAAGUCUGUCCGGUCAAAUGGUUUCAGCUUUGAGAAUCUAGAACCAGAAAAGCUGUCUGUCUCAUUCACUGCUCUGAGACUCGGCUCAAUUGCAGCGUUCGGUGGGGUGAGCAGCCAGGGCUCUCUGGACCAACUAAACAAUGUGGUAUGGUAACUCUUAUACUGAAUCGCAUGACAAUGGAGCAGUGUCUCCCUUUAUCUCUUGUAAGAGAAGAAUGAUCACCUCAUGGUUAAGGCAUGGGAAUGUGGGCUCUUGUGUUCUGUUGGGUAUGUCACUUGAUAUCUGCAAAGUGAGGAUAAUGCUUGACAAUCUUGCAAGGCUGAGUGACUCACUAACUCUAGCAGAGGUCUUAGUGCCCUGCAAGUAGAGGCUAGUGAAGACCGUGACGCACAAAUAACCAUAUGGCUGCACAUAGUAAAUAGACCACCAGAACUCCAAUCUAGUUCCACUGGGGUGAAAGGAAAGAGCGGCUCAGCUGCAUAUCAAGGACUGCAAGGGACAUGAAGAGAUAUUUAGGGAAUGGAAAUGGCCUAAAUAACUGAAUUAGGAAUAAGGUUCCUGUUGAAUUGUCACUUCAGUCUCCCCAACCCCUCUUCUGUUGAAGCUGGGAAACAAAUUGUCCCCUUUCUUCUCUGUAGGUGGUUCAGUCUCUGGGGGCCCUAUACAAAGUGAAGAACUUCACCUUUGUCAGACUCAGGGACAUCAAAGGUGACCUGGAGAUCAGUGGCAAAGCCUACAUUGACACACAUGCCCAUGCUGAUGUCAGCCAGGUUCUGGAAGCACUGAGGGGUCUUGUUAACUACUCUGUAGACUUGACAACUCUCUCUGUGGAUGAUUCAAGGCUUAGCUUGCAGGUCUUCCCCAUUUCCUUCCUGAUCAACAACAGGACAGUCAAUGAGAAACUGCUGGAUCACUCUUCUGUGGAACACCAGAACCUCACCAGGGACCUUGCUGAUGUGGUAGGCCUACCAAUUUCCAGCCAGUGACACCAGUGUACUCUGAGAUCCUUCUGGGAAUGGAGAGGAGACCUCAUAGAAUCCCUCUUGAGAUCUUAAGGGCAGAAAGGAGGAAUCUAGAAAGCCUUACUUCAAGGCUUUAGACUAAUCCUAAAUAUAGGCCUUGGACUACCCCAUCUGCUAGGAGAAGGAGCACUCUCAACUUGGAAUAAAAUGGUUACAGUGCUUUAUCAUAACUAGUGUCUCCAGAGGCUUGGAGCACCAGUAAUCCCCCACCCGAGGCUCUCUAGUGAAACCAGGCUCUUGCGGGGGACAGUCUGCUCGCUCUUGUUGCUCACUUAAAUGAUCUCACAAAUCAAACAACUUUGUAAAAUUCCAUCACAGCAAAAGCUUCAGCUGGAGGGUUGUGGUAGGGAAGGGGGAGUUGCAACUAAACUGCUUCUUACGGCUACGCUACUGGAGCAUGCUACGCUUAAUCAGACUUCGUAGCGUCUGAGCUUCAAAGCUCACUUGGCUUCCUAACGUGGUGUCCUAUAUGCGAGGCUCUAAUAGAAUUCCAGGCUCAGCCUAGAAUAUUGACAUGGAUUGAAGGCAUCUGAGUUACUCCAGACAAGUGUGUCCUUGCUGGAGCUCCCACAACUUUAACUGGUGGGUGAAGCUAAGGGCUUGGCUACACUUGCAAGUUACAGGGCAAUAAAGGAGCCCCAGGCACACUAGCUCACUACCCAUCCACACUGGCAAGGCAUGCAGAGCACUCUGACUCUGGCUACAGUGCUGCUGGUACUCCACCUCGGCAAGUGGAAUAACCUUUUUGCUGUGCCCCGCUGGAGCACUGCAGUGCCCGUGUGGACGAGGGGUUGCAUUACUGCGCUCUGAUCAGCCUCUGGAAACAUCCCCUAAUCCCCUUAAGUGGCCACUCUUCUCAUUGUCUUUUUGAAUCACUGUAGGAAUGAAGAAAUGCCCUUUGAAAGCUCAGUUUCUGACAGCCAGCUGCUUAUCUGCUCUGAGACAAAGCAACCAUUACUGUGAAAUGCUGUGUGUGAGAGGGAGGUAGCAGGGGGAGUGGUCUGAUGCUGUCUGAACUUACAAGACAGCAUGUUGACAUGCGCUCAGCCCCCCAAAAACCCACUCUCCCCCCACAUACACACAACCCACUCCACUCCCCACCCCCCAUUUGAAAAGCCCAUUGCAGUCACUUGCAUUAUGGGCAGCUAUCCCAGCAUGCACCACACCCAAUGCCGCUGCAAAUGUGGCCAUGCCAGUGCGCUUGAAGCUGUCUGUGGACAGACUGCAGCGCUUUCCCUACUGUGCUCUACAAAGGCUGGUUUAACUCAAAGCGCUCUACGUUGGCGAGUGUAGCCAUGCUCUAGCUCUUAAGCCUGGGUCUGACUCCUGCUGAGGAAAGAGUGGUCUGAAUGGGGUUGAGCUGGAGACAGAUGUUCUGAGUACCUUGCUGGCAGAGGCUUCACAAUGGGACAAAAUGCCUGUGGGAGGGGAACUGAAUCAGUCUAACUCUGAUCCACUCUUCCAGCUGAUGCAUUCCCUGAGGAAAUACCAAGGCCUCCUGCAAGUGGUAAUUCGAGACUUCCUGUGAGUAAACGCUCUGCUUCUGUGUAGGCUGGAAGGCCUCUUGUCUGCCUCCUACAAGGUUGUCUUCUGGGGCACCAAGGGAUCAAUGUAUCUGUACUAGAAUAUAUCACUACCCUAGUAGGGUUAGGAAGAUGCCAGUUGAAAGUGCCUGACCAAAGCAUUUGUCACAUGUUUGUGUCUCAAUCCAUUAUUGAGACUCCCACACUACAGUAAUGGUGUUUCUGGAUCCAAAAAGCAUGCCUCCCUCUUCUACCUACUAAGUUUCCCACCAACUUCAAUGAACCUCUGGCUAGAAGGUAACCAUUCCCCAUAAGAAGCAGUGGAUCUUAAUUCCCAUGCUGCCUAGAGCCUGUGACAAUUGGGAGUCUAAGACUGAAUGAUUCCAGGAUGCAGCCCUGGGUUAAAAGCCAUGGGUCUGGCUCAAGUCCAGACUGCCUGUGGCCCUCUGGGUGACUGCUACUGUGCCUCACUGGAAUCUAUUGCUCUCUCCACAGAAGUGGCUCCCUGAUCUGUCAUGGGGAUGUUGUAUUCCAGCACCCUGCCCCAGCCAGUACAGACGUUCUGCAGACUCUUGUUCUUUCAGUUGGUCCAGGUCACAUGUUGGCUGGGUCAGGCUUUCAGGUGGACCCGUAUUCUUUCACAGUGGCAGAUGACCAACUGGAACCUCCCUUUGUGUAUCCAAGUUUCCCUGGAUAUGCCAUGGCAAUUAUUGUCAUGUGUGGCCUUGUUCUAAUUGCCAUUCCCAUUGUGGCUCUGCUGUACCUGAAUUCUGGGCUAUUUGGCUGGCACGACAAGGCUAUAAUUCAGGGUGGGAGAGACCAUGAAGCAGGGACACAGACAUUUGAACUGGAUAAUCAAGGAUUCCGCUCUACCAUUG
This is a non-coding RNA of Caretta caretta (loggerhead turtle), 7781 nucleotides long. Lineage: Eukaryota; Metazoa; Chordata; Testudines; Cheloniidae. The record is from RefSeq and is a predicted model, not a curated record.